Molecule: ribosomal RNA, 167 nt
Filed under: uncultured bacterium
Lineage: Bacteria
Description: partial 16S ribosomal RNA
Rfam family: Bacterial small subunit ribosomal RNA
Source: RNAcentral
GAUCGACCAGAGGGAAAAGGAGCAAUCCGCUUUGAGAUGGCCUCGCGUCCGAUUAGCUAGUUGGUGAGGUAAUGGCCCACCAAGGCAACGAUCGGUAGCCGGACUGAGAGGUUGAACGGCCACAUUGGGACUGAGACACGGCCCAGACUCCUACGGGAGGCAGCAUG